Molecule: long non-coding RNA, 496 nt
Filed under: Volvox carteri
Lineage: Eukaryota; Viridiplantae; Chlorophyta; Chlorophyceae; Chlamydomonadales; Volvocaceae
Description: long non-coding RNA (VCAR_LNC003286)
Source: RNAcentral
CCGCUCCCGCUCCAGGGGCGGGGGCAGGGGGGUGGGGGUACUGGCAGCACAGCUGGUGGCUCGGGACGUGGCGGAGGCAGGUGCUUGGGGGGUUUAGAAGGGGUAGAAGAAGAGCCGCUGUGAAGGGAGCGGAGGAGAAAGAGGUCGUCCGGAUCGAAGGGGCGGCUCAGGGCGGCUUGGUUGGGAGCCAGCAACUGCGUAGGUGUGUGUGUGUGUAUGAGGAUGCCAUGUCAUGGUGCUUAUUUUUGGCGUCGUUAGACUGAUGUGCGUUACUGCCGACGUUGCGUUCCCACCCAGGUUCGAAUCCGUCCGGGAGCGGCAUCACGUUCGUGUCGGAGUUAUGGCCGCUGCGCCUGCCAGCGCCGCCCAGUGUGCGCCACCUCGCCCCCUGCCACGGCGCCCCCCACCACGUGCUGGCGCUCUGCCGGGACGGAGCAGCAGUCAUGUUGCAGGCGGAGAUGCCCCCACCGCCAUCCGCACCACCGCCAAUGUCAAC